Molecule: unclassified non-coding RNA, 309 nt
Filed under: plant metagenome
Description: partial contains 5.8S ribosomal RNA, internal transcribed spacer 2, and large subunit ribosomal RNA
Rfam family: 5.8S ribosomal RNA (bases 1-105)
Source: RNAcentral
GAAAUGCGAUAAGUAGUGUGAAUUGCAGAAUUCAGUGAAUCAUCGAAUCUUUGAACGCACAUUGCGCCCCCUGGUAUUCCAUGGGGCAUGCCUGUUCGAGCGUCAUUUGUACCCUCAAGCUCUGCUUGGUGUUGGGUGUUUGUCCCGUCUCCGCGCGUGGACUCGCCCCAAAGUGAUUGGCAGCCGGCGUACUGGUCCCGGAGCGCAGCACAUGUCGCGCAAACGAGUGCCUUGGUACGGCGGCGUCCAUAAGCCCCUCUCUCACGCUCUUGACCUCGGAUCAGGUAGGGAUACCCGCUGAACUUAAGC